This 496-nucleotide ribosomal RNA is filed under the name uncultured bacterium. RNAcentral's name for it is "partial 16S ribosomal RNA". It matches the Rfam family "Bacterial small subunit ribosomal RNA", at positions 28 to 506 of the family's 1533-position model. The record is from RNAcentral.
GAUGAACGCUGGCGGCGUGCCUAAUACAUGCAAGUCGAGCGAACAGACGAGGAGCUUGCUCCUCUGACGUUAGCGGCGGACGGGUGAGUAACACGUGGAUAACCUACCUAUAAGACUGGGAUAACUUCGGGAAACCGGAGCUAAUACCGGAUAAUAUAUUGAACCGCAUGGUUCAAUAGUGAAAGACGGUUUUGCUGUCACUUAUAGAUGGAUCCGCGCCGCAUUAGCUAGUUGGUAAGGUAACGGCUUACCAAGGCAACGAUGCGUAGCCGACCGGAGAGGGGGAUCGGCCACACUGGAACUGAGCCACGGCCCAGACUCCUACGGGAGGCAGCAGUAGGAAAUCUGCCGCAAUGGGCGAAAGCCUGACGGAGCAACGCCGCGUGAGUGAUGAAGGUCUGCGGAUCGUAAAACUCUGUUAUUAGGGAAGAACAAAUGUGUAAGUAACUAUGCACGUCUUGACGGUACCUAAUCAGAAAGCCACGGCUAACUACGU